RNAcentral lists this ribosomal RNA (394 nucleotides) under uncultured bacterium. RNAcentral describes it as "partial 16S ribosomal RNA". It matches the Rfam family "Bacterial small subunit ribosomal RNA", at positions 338 to 729 of the family's 1533-position model. The record is from RNAcentral.
CCUACGGGAGGCAGCAGUGAGGAAUAUUGGUCCAUGGCCGGAAGUCUGAACCAACCAAGCCGCGUGAAGGACGCCGGUGCCAAGCAUUGUAAACUUCUUUUAUCAAGGGAUAAAAUCAGGCCCGAGCGCCUUUCCGCGGGUCCUUUAUGAAUAAGCAUCUGCUAACUCCGUGCCAGCAACCGCGGUUAUACUGAGGAUCCGAGCGUUAUCCGGAUUUAUUGGGUUUAAAGGGGGAGUAGGUGGACUGUUAAUUCAGGUGUUAAAGCCCGGGGCUUAACCCGCAAAGACCAAUUGAAACUGGCUGUCUUGAGGAGACGUGAGGUAUGCGGAAUGCGCAGUGUAGCGGUGAAAUGCUGAGAUAUUGCGAAGAACUCCGAUUGCGAAGGCAGCAUAC